RNAcentral lists this ribosomal RNA (125 nucleotides) under Mustela putorius furo (domestic ferret). The record is from RNAcentral. Lineage: Eukaryota; Metazoa; Chordata; Mammalia; Carnivora; Mustelidae.
GCCUAUGGCCAUACCACCCUGAACGCACCCAAUCUCAUCUGAUCUCGAAAGCUAAGCAUGGUCAAGCCUGGUUAGUACUCGGAUGGGAGAAUGUGUAGUAUUUAAGAAAGAAAGGAAGGAAGGAA